Molecule: non-coding RNA, 114 nt
Filed under: Elusimicrobiota bacterium
Lineage: Bacteria; Pseudomonadati; Elusimicrobiota
Description: Elusimicrobia bacterium SAM-I sequence
Rfam family: SAM riboswitch aptamer (S box leader)
About the family: The SAM riboswitch is found upstream of a number of genes which code for proteins involved in methionine or cysteine biosynthesis in Gram-positive bacteria.
Source: RNAcentral
CUCUUAUCGAGAGUGGUGGAGGGAAUAGGCCCUAUGAAACCACGGCAACCGGCCCAAGAAAAAGUUGGGUUAGGUGCUAAAGCCAGGUUGCGAAGCCAGCGACCGCGAUAAGAG